This 250-nucleotide ribosomal RNA is filed under the name uncultured prokaryote. RNAcentral's name for it is "partial 16S ribosomal RNA". It matches the Rfam family "Bacterial small subunit ribosomal RNA", at positions 524 to 773 of the family's 1533-position model. The record is from RNAcentral.
UACAUAGGGGGCGAGCGUUAUCCGGAAUUAUUGGGCGUAAAGCGUGCGUAGGCUGUUGAUUAAGUCUGAUGUGAAAGCCCACGGCUCAACCGUGGAGGGUCAUUGGAAACUGGUCGACUAGAAUCCAGAAGGGGUAAGUGGAAUUCCAUGUGAAGCGGUAAAAUGCAUAGAUAUAUGGAGGAACACCAGUGGCGAAGGCGGCUUACUGGUCUGGGAUUGACGCUGAGGCACGAAAGUGUGGGUAGCAAAC